CGGUGCUCUACUGUGUGACACAACGUGAAUCAAGGACAGUACUGUGACGUGAAUAAACUGCACUACUGUGACAUGACGUGAAUAAGAUGAAUUCAGGGCUGGUAGCACGACGUCACAGGAGGCGGGACAGGCGCCGCCAAGCUGUACCACCACCACCACCACCUGCUGCGCUGCCAG
Long non-coding RNA from Pseudophryne corroboree (corroboree frog), 177 nucleotides. RefSeq lists it as uncharacterized. NCBI's taxonomy places the organism in Eukaryota, Metazoa, Chordata, Amphibia, Anura, Myobatrachidae. The transcript is spliced from 3 exons. The record is from RefSeq and is a predicted model, not a curated record.